UUGACAGCUCUCACUGCCACCCCCAGAUGGAACAGAUGGGGACUCAGCCCAGCCAGGCUCCAGAACAGCCCCCAGCCACCCCCAUGGCCUGCCACCAUGGUGGGGUGGCCCCGAACCUCCGUCGGCUUUGGUUCUGCAACUUUUUCCAAACCUGAAGCGUGAUUCAUGUCCCAGAUCAACUUGUGGAAUUUCUGAAAGCUGAGGAGUCUGUGCUUCCUAGAGGCUGCCCUACUCCCACCUUUGGUGGCAGCCCGAGAAGGAAGCUGGGAAAACAUGCACCACAUUCUUCCUGCAUGAAGCACCGUCCGCAUCGGGGAGGAAGCGAUGGCUAAGAGCCUGGAUGACUCCCGGCGUCUCAGAUGGCUCUCUGUAAAUGCGUUUAGACUGAUCUUAUUGGACAAGCCCGGUAGUUAUCUGAACCCCCGGACAGCGCACAGUCCAUAAUAUUUUGCCGUUUGCUGACAAAGACCGUGGAUUAUCUCUUCUCCCCAUUGCUGUCGCUUUUCUUCUUAGAGAAAGAAAACACUGGCCAGAGUGGAGUGCUGAAUAUUAUCCCAUUGUCUGGAUGGACCACCGCUGAUUUAUCCAUUCACCUUCUGAAGGACAUCUUGGUUGCUUCUAAGUUUUGGCAGUUAUGAAUAAAUGUGCUAUAAACAUCUGCGUGCCAGUUUCUGUGUGGAUAUGUUUCCAGUUCAUUUGGAUAAAUAUCAAGGAGCGUGAUGGCUGGAUGAUACGGUAAGAGUGUGUUUAGUUCCGAAAGAAAACUCCAAAUUGUCUUCCGAAGCGGCAGCCGUGAGUAAGAGUUCCUCCUCCACAUCCUCCCCAGCAUCUGGUGUCGUCAGUGUUUUUGACCUUGGCCAUUCUCACAGGGGCUUGCUAAGUCAAAAGUGUUGGAAUACUUUCGGAGCCCUCGAUACAUUGUCCUCAGAAAUGGCCACGCAGUUUGCCAUCAGGAUAGGAAAUGUUCAUCCACCCAAAGCUCACCAAUGCAGAGGAU
Physeter macrocephalus (sperm whale) is the source of this 997-nucleotide long non-coding RNA. RefSeq lists it as uncharacterized. The record is from RefSeq and is a predicted model, not a curated record. The transcript has 3 exons. Lineage: Eukaryota; Metazoa; Chordata; Mammalia; Artiodactyla; Physeteridae.